UACGGAGGAUGCGAGCGUUAUCCGGAUUUAUUGGGUUUAAAGGGUGCGUAGGCGGUCCGUUAAGUCAGCGGUAAAAUUGCGGGGCUCAACCCCGUCGAGCCGUUGAAGCUGGCAGACUUGAGUUGGCGAGAAGUACGCGGAAUGCGCGGUGUAGCGGUGAAAUGCAUAGAUAUCGCGCAGAACUCCGAUUGCGAAGGCAGCGUACCGGCGCCAGACUGACGCUGAGGCACGAAAGCGUGGGGAUCGAACAGG
This 252-nucleotide ribosomal RNA is filed under the name uncultured bacterium. RNAcentral describes it as "partial 16S ribosomal RNA". It matches the Rfam family "Bacterial small subunit ribosomal RNA", at positions 524 to 776 of the family's 1533-position model. The record is from RNAcentral.